CAGCCGCCGCGGUAAUACGUAGGAUCCGAGCGUUAUCCGAAUUUACUGGGCGUAAAGCGCGUGUAGGCGGCCGGGUAAGUUGGACGUGAAAGCUCCUGGCUCAACUAGGAGAGGUCGUUCAAAACUGCCUGGCUAGAGGGCGACAGAGGGAGGUGGAAUUCCCGGUGUAGUGGUGAAAUGCGUAGAUAUCGGGAGGAACACCAGUGGCGAAGGCGGCCUCCUGGGUCGCCCCUGACGCUCAGACGCGAAAGCUAGGGGAGCAAACGGGAUUAGAUACCCCGGUAGUCCUAGCUGUAAACGAUGUGGACUUGGCGUUGGUGGGGUCAAAUCCAUCAGUGCCGUAGCUAACGCGAUAAGUCCACCGCCUGGGGACUACGGUCGCAAGGCUAAAACUCAAAGGAAUUGGCGGGGGCCCGCACAAGCAGCGGAGCGUGUGGUUUAAUUCGAUGCUACACGAAGAACCUUACCCGGGUUUGACAUCCAGGUGGUAGGGAACCGAAAGGCGACCGACCCUUCGGGGAGCCUGGACAGGUGCUGCAUGGCUGUCGUCAGCUCGUGUCGUGAGAUGUCCGGUUAAGUCCGGUAACGAGCGCAACCCUUGCUGUAUGUUAUACGUGUCAUACAGGACUGCCGGUUUAGUGCCGGAGGAAGGCGGGGAUGACGUCAAGUCAGCAUGGCCUUUAUAUCCGGGGCUACACACACGCUACAAUGGCCAGUACAACUGGUUGCAAAACCGCGAGGUGGAGCCAAUCCCCAAAACUGGUCUCAGUUCAGAUUGCAGGCUGCAACUCGCCUGCAUGAAGUCGGAGUUGCUAGUAACCGCGCGUCAGCUAUAGUGCGGUGAAUACGUUCUCGGGCCUUGCACACACCGCCCGUCACGUCAUGGAAGCUGACAACACCUGAAGCCGGUAUCCUAACCGCAAGGAUGGAGCCGUCGAAGGUGGGGUUGGUGACUGGGACGAAGUCGUAACAAGGUAACCGUA
Molecule: ribosomal RNA, 983 nt
Filed under: uncultured Chloroflexota bacterium
Lineage: Bacteria; Bacillati; Chloroflexota
Description: bacterial SSU rRNA
Rfam family: Bacterial small subunit ribosomal RNA
Source: RNAcentral